RNAcentral lists this long non-coding RNA (1295 nucleotides) under Nothobranchius furzeri (turquoise killifish). Its description in RNAcentral is "lncRNA (ENSNFUG00015006142.1)". The record is from RNAcentral. Lineage: Eukaryota; Metazoa; Chordata; Actinopteri; Cyprinodontiformes; Nothobranchiidae.
AUGUUUAUCCCUUGGGUCCACAUGGCAAGGGUGAGGAGUGUGCACCACCUCACCCCUGCCAUGUGGACCCAAGGGAUAAACCAUCAACCCUGCUCAAUGGUAAACUUUCCUGGCGGGAUCACCCAUGAGGCUGUCACAAUGGGUGUAGCUAACCUCUCCAUGAGUUUUCCUGUUUGCAGGUGGGCGCGCCCGGAGAGCAGCUGCUGCGAUUUCCCUCAUCAGCUCGCAGGGGAUUUAAGGAGCGGUGUGACAACUCACCAGUGCCGGAUGAUUACUCGCAUUGGGUACUCUCAUCAUCUGCCUGUUACCAACUCGUCAACCUGCACUCUCACCUGUUACAACAAGGCGCCUACGGAUCUCCUGUCCACCCGCCACACCGCUUCUCUUUGGCCGUCUGCUCUCCUGCGCUCACCUGCCCGCUCUCGGAACCGGUGCUCAGCUCCCAGCCUCCUCCAACAGCUACCACUCAGACCUGACACGCCCCCCUCUCAGCGCUCCACUACCUUACUGGACUCCGUAAGCCUCCAUUCUAUCACACCUUCCCCAUCUGCCUUACAUUACUCAUUCUUGUUCUCUGUCUCAGAACGCUGCCAGAACCGCCCUCCUCCGACAUCUCCCCAGCCUCGUCAAACUCAAAUAAAGAUAUAUUAUUUUUACUCACCUUGUCUCUUCGUGAUUCUGCAUGUCAUGGGUCAAAAGACUCGAUCCCAACAUGACAGAGGCCAUUCAUGUCGCUACACAACCAACUACAAAACAUAACAGGUACUUACUCUUCUUUCCUAUGAAAGUCAGCAAGACUUUAGUGUUUUUAUUUACCAGGAGACUAAAUUAAAACAUGGUUAAUAAAAUUCAUUUUCUGUUGAAGCCCCACAUUAAUACGCAUCUCCACCUACAAGGUUUCUGCCACAUCUUGGCCAGCCCAGCCCCAGUGCAAUCAGAAAAGCUGAGUUCUUGUUCUGAUAAGUUUUAGCGCUAAAGCGUUCCUCCCCAUUUCUCUAAACUGAGAUCCUGUCUCAUUUUGAUAAGAUAUAGACAACUCUAAAGUGCUUAAUAGAAGCCCAUCCAAAAUCAAUAAAUUAAUAAAUAAUAAAAUAGAGAAAAAUAUUUUCCAGAUUGUGCUGCUGGAAGGAGUCAUGUUUAUGUUUAUGUUUAUUUAUUUAGCAGAUGCUUUUAUCCAAAGCGACUUACAAUUUAUAACCUAUAGGGCAUGUUGUGAUCUGUGGGGGAAACCGGAGUACCCGGAGGAAACCCACGCAUGCAUGGGGAGAACACGCAACUCCACGCAGAAAGGCCGC